AGUGAUGUUUCACUAUGUUUGAUGGAUAGUCGUUAAGAAUCUUCGCCGCAGAGGAAGAUUGUUGUGCUCGUCGGAAGCUCUGCGUGUAAACAAUGUAUAGCGAGAAAGGAAAACUUUUAUUAUUGCUAAUUAUAAGAAACUUACAAGUGAAAGGUACUGGAACUUAUGGAUAAAAACAGCGCAGUUUGUCUAUGUGCCAAGAAUUAGGCACGCGUGUUGUUGGGUAUUUUAAACGCAAACAGAAAAAUCCGCAAGCGCACGGAUACCGAUGUAGCUUUCACCCGGGAGUAUUCCAGAGUAUCGAUUUUCCACAGAGAACGUGAGUGUACUAAUUAAGAAUCAAGAUCGCCCAAGGAUAACUAUAUAAUUGUUUUUGGUGGGAAGAGAGGAAGUUUCCUGAGAGUUCUCUAGUUGAUCUAAGAACCAAGAAUUACUUCAAGCUUAUCUAUUUCGGGACAUCAGAACACUAACCACAGAAAGAGAUGAGAAGGGGGCUAGGAAGCUCCGACUACGGUCCUACAAACACCGAUCCGAAUGAGGUGGAAUACGUCGACCGUUAGGGCUGUCACUACCCUAGGGCUAACACAACAAUCCGCAGGAUUGGGUGCAAUUCCAGGUAAUUGCAAGACUAAACACCACGUCUAAUCUAUUAAUUACUACUCUAAUGUUUCAAAGAUUAGAGCACUUGAUGCAAGC
This 696-nucleotide long non-coding RNA is filed under the name Sorghum bicolor (sorghum). Its description in RNAcentral is "long non-coding RNA (SBIC_LNC012476)". The record is from RNAcentral. Lineage: Eukaryota; Viridiplantae; Streptophyta; Magnoliopsida; Poales; Poaceae.